GCUUCCUUACGCGGGCCACAGCCACGCUGCACCCGCGCCCGGCAGGGACCGGCUGAAGCUGACAGGGUUUAUUGUCGAUGCCCAUGUCCUGCACAUGGCCCUGUUCCCACAAGGGUGGUUGAGCAAUACACCUGGCAAGGCCCGGCCCCCAGGUGACCAGACACACUGCCAAGGAGCACGGGUCCCUGCAAAGCUGGCUGACCUGGAGGUCACCUGUCCCCUGCACUAGCCAUGAUGGAGGCACCUGAAUCCCAGGGUUCUCUGGGAAUAUGGAUGUCUUGCAUCGAAGGAAAGCUGUCAACUUCAUGAUCGUUUGCAGAUAUGGACAUUUCUAUUCUUUCUCCAGGUUAAAUGCUUCUGAUCACUCCUUUUCUAAAAUAAGAUUAGUACUCCAGUUGUCUUAGUGACAAUAAGGAACUUCUGACAUGUUCUCUCUACUGGUGGUAUAUUUGCAUGUAUUAAUAUCUUCCCCAAAAUGCAUUGCAUUUUUGUAAGUAAGUUGUACAGAAGAAAAUCUCUCUGACAGAAACAGGGAGAGAAUAUGUAGGACAGAGCCUAGAGCCUUAGGACUUGUUUUCCCCUUGUUUAUUUAUGUAGAGUUAUAUUUUAAAAGCAAUGCAGUUAUGCAAAGGCCGCAACACACCUGGGGGAAAGAGGCCCUGAGUUCUAACAAGUAACCUUGGAUUUAAACUAACAAUUACCUGUCAGUGAUUAAUUGAUAUUUAGGUCUCGUCUGUGAGCAGCUCCUUGCUUUGUUUACCUGUAUUUGUUUUUGACCAAAUAAUGCUUGAUCUGCUGAUUAUUCAUGGCAUUUGACAUUUGUUGAGAAUUAUGCUUGAUGCAUGUUUUUUUUCUUCUAUUUUAUUCACAUGUGAAAGCCUUAAAAUUCAAUCUGUGCUAUUCCAUCUCUCUGUGAAAGGUGAAACCAGACAUACUUGUUAAGAAUUUAAAAAGGAAUAAAGAAGAAAUGAAUAUA
This is a long non-coding RNA of Pipra filicauda (Wire-tailed manakin), 976 nucleotides long. RefSeq lists it as uncharacterized. The transcript has 2 exons. The record is from RefSeq and is a predicted model, not a curated record. Lineage: Eukaryota; Metazoa; Chordata; Aves; Passeriformes; Pipridae.